Molecule: ribosomal RNA, 475 nt
Filed under: uncultured bacterium
Lineage: Bacteria
Description: partial 16S ribosomal RNA
Rfam family: Bacterial small subunit ribosomal RNA
Source: RNAcentral
UAGGGAAUCUUCCACAAUGGACGCAAGUCUGAUGGAGCAACGCCGCGUGAGUGAAGAAGGCUUUCGGGUCGUAAAACUCUGUUGUUGGAGAAGAAUGGUCGGCAGAGUAACUGUUGCCGGCGUGACGGUAUCCAACCAGAAAGCCACGGCUAACUACGUGCCAGCAGCCGCGGUAAUACGUAGGUGGCAAGCGUUAUCCGGAUUUAUUGGGCGUAAAGCGAGCGCAGGCGGUUUUUUCAAGUCUGAUGUGAAAGCCCUCGGCUUAACCGAGGAAGCGCAUCGGAAACUGGGAAACUUGAGUGCAGAAGAGGACAGUGGAACUCCAUGUGUAGCGGUGAAAUGCGUAGAUAUAUGGAAGAACACCAGUGGCGAAGGCGGCUGUCUGGUCUGUAACUGACGCUGAGGCUCGAAAGCAUGGGUAGCGAACAGGAUUAGAUACCCUGGUAGUCCAUGCCGUAAACGAUGAAUGCUAGGU